AACAAAGAGUCGACUUUUCAUAUGGAAAUGGGAGAGUCUCUCAAAGAUGGGUCCCCCGAGCAGAAUAUAUUCCCCACUGAUGAAACAAAUGAAAGAUAUUGAAGAGAAAAAACAGCGAUUAACGGGUGACAGGAAUCCAGUGUCUCAGCCAGGUGCCCAGAAGCCUAGGUCUGAAGCUACAGGAGAUGCAGCCAGAAUGAGGGUGGCCAAGUGUGGGGGGUUGAACACCCUUCUCUCUCUUUCCUGCCGGAAUCCUGUUUAUCCAGCUGUUUCCCUGAAUUUGAUGCCCCUUGUAAUUACAUUUAAUGAGACUCCGAAUAUUAACUGGCACAAUAGCAAAGCGAUGAUCUCUAGUUGAAAACUCCAACAAGACAGGCUGUUCAGCUAGGGAUCUUCCUGUCUCCACCUCCUACAGCUCCUGGAUUGGUG
RNAcentral lists this long non-coding RNA (429 nucleotides) under Cricetulus griseus (Chinese hamster). RNAcentral describes it as "lncRNA (ENSCGRG00015041565.1)". Lineage: Eukaryota; Metazoa; Chordata; Mammalia; Rodentia; Cricetidae. The record is from RNAcentral.